Molecule: long non-coding RNA, 278 nt
Filed under: Lathyrus oleraceus (garden pea)
Lineage: Eukaryota; Viridiplantae; Streptophyta; Magnoliopsida; Fabales; Fabaceae
Description: Pisum sativum (pea) long non-coding RNA (PSAT_LNC041559)
Source: RNAcentral
UGCCCCUGGACUCGGGCACGAAAGACAAGACUUUCUUGAACACAAGGUCCCUCGGAACACACGAGGCUUGACCCUCUUAUCGCGUGCUUUCGUCACUCUCUGCUGAUGUAACUGACCAUGCUACAUGGCAGUUGAUCUCUUCUUUUUUUCCGUCGAAUUCAGCAUUAGUCAACUUGGGACUUUGAGGGUGCUAUCUUUCUUUUGUUUUUUUUUCUUUUGAUUUUGCUUUUGAUUUUGCUUUUGAUUUUGCUUUCUUUUGAUUUCUUUUGAUUUUGCAC